GCCUUUUGCCUAUCGUAGAAAGUAUUACUAUUAUGGUGGUGACAAGCUUGCAAAAUCGUUAGUACUCUGGUUGAAAGGAUUAGCGCCAUUUUGUCCGUCUCUGUGUUCUGAGUUCAAAUUCCGCUGAAGUCAACUUUGCUUUUCAUCCUUUCAGGGUCGAUAAACUAAGUGCCAGUCAAGUACUGGGGUCGAUGUAAUUGACUAGCUCCCUCCCCCAAAUUUCAGUAGAGAGGAUUAUUAUUAUUAUUAUUAUUAUUAAGGUGACGAGCUGGCAGAAUCGUUAGCAAUGCCAAACAAAAUGCUUUGCGGCAUUUCGUCCAUCUUUAUGUUUCGUUGUUGUUGUUAUUCUAAAUGACGAUUUUAUUAGGGCAGUGGUUGGCAGGUUCUGUCGUGAGGUGGGGGGAAAUGCCUUGCACCAAAUACUUCAGGGUCUGAGUUGAAAUCCCAUCAGGUCAAGUUUGCCAGUCUUUAAUCCAGGGGUCAUGAUAUAUAUAUAUAUAUAUAUAGAUAUAUAUAUAGUGCUUAGAGGUCGGUUGAAUGUCUUGCCUCUCCCCCACAUUUCCCCUCCCCUCCAAUUUCUGGCCUUGGGCCUAUGUUAGACAAUAUUACUGUUAUUGUUAUUUUUCAAAUUAUUAUUGCCCUAUUUUCAUAUACACAUGCAUAUAAUAUUUAUAUAUAUAUAUAUAUAUACAUACGUGUGGAUGUGUGUGUGUGUGUGUAGUGGAUCUCCUUGUGGCUAAUGCUACGCAUUUUGAUUCAUUCAAAUGUGAGUGCGGAUUUCCACAGAAAUAAUCUGUAAUUAUUUAAUUACUUUGAUAAAUCGAAAUAAUUUAGAGUUACUAUAUAUAUAUAUAUAUAUAUAUAUAUAUAUAUAUAUAUAUACACACACAUACAUAUAUGUUAUGUAUACUCAUAUAUAUUUAUACGUAUGUACAUUUAUGUGUAAUUACAUGUGUGUCUGUAUAUGUGCAUAUAUGUAUAUAUAUAUGUAUGUAUAUUCAGCUGUUUCAUACAUCACUUGUACAUACAAACACAUACAUACAUGUGUGUGUGUGUGUGUAUAUAUAUAUAUAUGUAUAUGUGUGUGUGUGUGUGUAUAUAUGUAUAUAUAAUUGGAUUUUAGAAAUAUAUUAAAAUAUGCGUGUGUGGAAUGUGUAUAUGUGUGAGUGCAGUGUUGUUAAUGUUAAUAAUUAAUGUUGAUUAACGAUUAUUGUUAACGCUGAUAAUAUGUUUGUUACAAGAUGAUCUUGAUAAUAAUGUUAAUGAUGUUAAUAAUGAUGAUGAUAAUGAUAAUAAUGGUGAUGAUGAUGAUAAAUAAUGAUUUCUGAUAAUGUUAAUUAAUAAUUAUGAUGAUGAAGAUUAUGAUAAUGAUGAUGAUGAUAAAUUUUUCAGUUAUAUUAAAUGGGAAAAAAUAAAUAAAUAUACUUUAAAAAAAAAGAAAAUUUUUAAAAAAAAUAUGUACAUGAAAUAAAAAAAAAUUUACAGAAACUAAAAUUAUAAUAAUAAUAAUGAUAAUAAUAAUGAUGAUGAUGAUGAUAAUAAUAAUUUUAAAAAAUUGUAUAUCUCUAUUUUUCUCUGGUAUUGAAUGGAUGUUAUCGACAUAUAUACACAAGCAAAACACUAAUAUAUACAUACAUGACAUAUAUAUAUAUACACAAGAAGAAGAAGAAGAAGAAGGAGAUUAAAAGACUCGAGACAUUUUAAUAAAAAAUAUUUGGUCAAAGAAAUUCAAUUUGAAAAAGUGAAAAAUUGUUAGAAAAAAAUGAUAAAUAAAAUUUUAAAAUAAACACGUUUUUUUAAUUUUUUUAAUCUUUUAUGUUUUGUUUUGGUCAUUGGACUGCAGCCAUGCUGGAGUGCUUCCUUGAAGGGCUUUUAUUGAAAUUGACUCUGAUCCUUUUUUUUCUUUUUCUUUUUAGGCUUGUACUUAUUAUAUCAGUCCCUUUUGCCAAACUGCUAAGUUACGAGGGACAUAGACACACCAACACCAGUUAUCAAGCGAUCGUGGGAGAUGCAGAUAUAUAUGUGUGUGUGUAGUGAGCUUCUUUCAGUUUCCAUCUAUUGAAUCUACUCACAAGGCCCGAGACAAUAGGGGAAAACACCUGCCUGAGGGGCCACGGAGUGGGAUUGAACCCAGAACCCUGCAGUUUGUACAUGACUCUGCUGUCUCCUGUCCCAGGGUCUCACGAGCCCACACCCUCAGGGUUGGCACUCUCAAUGUCGGCACACUGAAAGAUGGCUACGGCAACAAGAAGUAUAACUGCUCUACUGCUGAUCGUCAGCCUCUUCUGUUUUGUUGCUGGCUGGAAAAGAACAUGCACUUGUCCCUCCACAGUGGUCCAGCCUGCCAACAAACAGAACCCAGUUUCCAGUGAUGUCCCCAUUGUGAGGAAUGUUCUAGACCAGCUGUCAUUGUGUCCAUGGAAGAUGGAAAUGGAUUUUGACCAACAUAGAAUGCCAGCCAGUUUGAUCUAUGCCAAAUUGCAAACAUCAGCCUACUGCAACAACAUGGAACGACAAUGCAUGGCUGUUACAGAAACAGUCAAUGUCACUGUACGAUGCUCAGACAGCAGAUGUGUGACAUGCACCGAAGACAUCCCCAUCGCAUUUGUAUGUGCCAUGCGGCAUGUAGUUGUAAUUAACUAAGGAAGUUUCUACCAGAGGGUCAUGGUUAUCUACUGCCAAUGUUGUCAUUUCCAUUUAUGGUAGUUCUACCCAAGACAGCAGACAUGUUUCUCUUCCAAGAAUGCAAGCCACGAUAAGAACUAUUUAUCAAUUAAUUUAUUAAUUACUAUUUUCAAAUGAUAUAUAUUUACAAAAAGGAAAAGGUUUUUAGUGAUUUGUAAUGAACUCCUAUAAAGACUUCAAAUAACUUUGAAAGAUUUAUUCUAAACAGUUGUCACUAGGUAUUUGUUUGCUUUCUCUCAGCUAAGAAUGGAGAGUUUAAUUAAAUAUUUAUUGCAUACAUUAGUUAGUAUGCAGCUCAUUAAUUCCACUAUUUAUAUCUUUCAUUUACACACAAAACACCACACAUACAUGCAUGCACACACACACCUAUGAAACCACUCAAACAUGUACAUAUAUUUAUUUUUACACAGAAAUGCAGAGUUUUUAAUUUAUUUUAUACCCCAUAUACCUAUACAUACAAUAUAAUAUGCGUGCACACACGUUUAUUUCCUCAAGAUGCACAUAUUAUCUAUUUAUUUAUUUCAACACACACAAACACACAUUUAUUUAUUUAUUUUCAUAUAUAUAUAUAUAUGUGUGUGUGUAUAUAUAUAUAUAUAUAUAUAUAUAUAUACACAUACACACACACACAUGCACAUACAUACACACAUAAGGAUGUGAACACACAAUUAUUUAUUUUCAACCUCCCCACCAUAUAUUUAUAUAUAUACACACACACACACACACAUAAGGAUGUGAACACACAAUUAUUUAUUUUCAACCUCCCCACCAUAUAUUUAUAUAUAUACACACACACACACACACAUAAGGAUGUGAACACACAAUUAUUUAUUUUCAACCUCCCCACCAUAUAUUUAUAUAUAUAUAAGCCUGUCCUUUUCAAACUACAAUGUCUGAAGAAGUGAUUGAACUUUAAAUUUAUAACAUAAAUUGCCGAACUUUGUAUGUAAUGUGAAAUAAAUGGCGUUUGAUUACUGAAACAUU
Molecule: long non-coding RNA, 3669 nt
Organism: Octopus bimaculoides (California two-spot octopus)
Lineage: Eukaryota; Metazoa; Mollusca; Cephalopoda; Octopoda; Octopodidae
Source: RefSeq, a predicted model, not a curated record